Long non-coding RNA from Cervus elaphus (red deer), 330 nucleotides. RefSeq lists it as uncharacterized. NCBI's taxonomy places the organism in Eukaryota, Metazoa, Chordata, Mammalia, Artiodactyla, Cervidae. The record is from RefSeq and is a predicted model, not a curated record. The transcript has 3 exons.
GCGCCUUCUCCCCUCUGUGGUCCCAGCCUCAGUUUCCCCACGUGCCAGUCCGUGAUGACAUGAAUGACCAAUACAGAGUGACCUGAGAGUCCCUUCCUCAGUUUUGUCCCCUGUAGAAUGGAAGCGGUGGCUGUGCCUCCCUUGGUCUGUAAUGCGCCUUACAGAAGACACAGGAUAUGAAGUGCUUAGCACACACUUGGCACCAGUGAUUGGUGUCCCCAUGAGAAGAUGCGUGAACAGAGGCCCACGCACAGAGAUGUCCCUGUGAAGACAGGCAGACCCUGGAGCAAAGCAGCUACAGAUCCAGAAACGCCAAUGACUGCCAGCAAG